Molecule: long non-coding RNA, 1060 nt
Filed under: Cricetulus griseus (Chinese hamster)
Lineage: Eukaryota; Metazoa; Chordata; Mammalia; Rodentia; Cricetidae
Description: lncRNA (ENSCGRG00015032898.1)
Source: RNAcentral
CUGACGUGGACUCUUGCUGCUGCUGUCUAGCUUUUCUUCCGCUAGCCCAACCUAUGGCUUCCACAGCUCAAUUUGUGUACUUGUCUACCAGGCCGCCUUCCAAAAAUGUUUCCAAAAAAACCCUGCAAAAGGAAGAAUGAAUUUAGUGAAUAGCAGUUUCUCACGUUGCUCAUCGCUUUGAGAUGCUACUCCGUGCACACUGUUUUAAAAGGAAACUCCCCAUCUUUUGACAUCAAUAGUUUCUCAUCCGGGAUUGGAAAGUAUUUGUAAGAUUCCAAGCUUCACAAGAAAAAGAAGGAAAAAAAAAAAAGCACCACCUCUGGAACAAUCCACUUCUCAGAGUCUCCAUUCCUGUGUGAGGGAAAUUCUUCUUAGAUACAAUCUGAGCCGUGGGAGAACUCCUUGAUUCUAUCUUUCAAAUUCAUGGCCUCUUUUUUCAUUAAUUGUUGUUACACACGUGUGUGUGUGUGUGUGUGUGUGUGUGUGUGUGUGUGUUCCAAAACACAUAAAUAUAUACUCAGUCUGAACAAUACUGUGUGUAUGUUUUCAGGGCUGAUCAUUUGGUAUUACUUAACCAAUUGGUAUACUCUUCCCUGGGAGAAACUUUUUUUUGUUUUUUGUUUUUGUUUUCUUUUUUGUUUUUUUGGUUGUUGUUUGUUUGUUUGUUUUUUGUUUGUUUGGUUGUUUGUUUGUUUGUUUGUUUGGUUGGUUGGUUGGUUCGUUGGUUUGGGUUUUUUUGUUUUGUUUUUCAAGACAGGAUUUCUCUCUCUGGCUUUGGAGCCUCUCCUGGAACUUGCUCUGUAGACCAGGCUGGCCUCAAACUCACAGAGAUUUGGGGGGGGGGGGACUAUUUCUACCCAUUUCAGCUUUCCUUAGUUGCCUAUAGUUCUUUGUGUAGGGGCUUUCCCCUGUCAUAUUAGCAUAUCUAUUGACGUCAUCCUUAUCCAGCUCAUGUUUAGGCAAUCAUGAGACUUUGUAGGUGUAGCUUCUGACAUGACAUUUCUAGAAAACACAAUCUCACAGCAAACUUCCUGGUCCUCUGGCUCUUAUAGUCUUUGCU